Molecule: unclassified non-coding RNA, 203 nt
Filed under: rhizosphere metagenome
Description: partial ribosomal RNA internal transcribed spacer region
Source: RNAcentral
GAGUGCGGGCCCUCGCGGCCCAACCUCCCACCCUUGUCUCUAUACACCUGUUGCUUUGGCGGGCCCACCGGGGCCACCUGGUCGCCGGGGGACGUCGUCUCCGGGCCCGCGCCCGCCGAAGCGCUCUGUGAACCCUGAUGAAGAUGGGCUGUCUGAGUACUAUGAAAAUUGUCAAAACUUUCAACAAUGGAUCUCUUGGUUCC